GACCAGGUGGCUCAGAGGUUAAAGCACCUGCCUGGAAUGCUGGAGACCUGGGUUCGAUCCCUGGGUCG
Molecule: transfer RNA, 68 nt
Filed under: Ovis aries (sheep)
Lineage: Eukaryota; Metazoa; Chordata; Mammalia; Artiodactyla; Bovidae
Rfam family: tRNA
About the family: Transfer RNA (tRNA) molecules are approximately 80 nucleotides in length. Their secondary structure includes four short double-helical elements and three loops (D, anti-codon, and T loops).
Source: Rfam by way of RNAcentral